This 468-nucleotide ribosomal RNA is filed under the name uncultured bacterium. RNAcentral's name for it is "partial 16S ribosomal RNA". It matches the Rfam family "Bacterial small subunit ribosomal RNA", at positions 28 to 507 of the family's 1533-position model. The record is from RNAcentral.
GACGAACGCUGGCGGCGUGCCUAACACAUGCAAGUCGAACGGAAAGGCCCUGCGUUUGUGUGUUGCUCGAGUGUCGAACGGGUGAGUAACACGUGAGUAACCUGCCCCUUACUUUGGGAUCACUUCAGGAAACUGGGGCUAAUACCGGAUAGGAGCUCCUGCUGCAUGGUGGGCGUUGGAAAGUUUCGGCGGUUGGGGAUGGACUCGCGGCGUAUCAGCUUUUUGGUGGGGUAGUGGCUUACCAAGGCUUGGACGGGUAGACGGCCUGAGAGGGUGACCGGCCACAUCGCGACUGAGAUACGGCCCAGACGCGUACGGUAGGGAGCAGAGGAGAAUAGUGCAUAACGGGCGGAAGCCAGAUGCAGCACCGCCGCGUGCGGGAAGACGGGCUUCGGGUUGUAAACCGAUUUCGCCUGUGACGAAGCGAGAGUGACGGUAACGUGUAAAGAAGCACCGGCUAACUACGUG